This 72-nucleotide transfer RNA is filed under the name Camelus dromedarius (Arabian camel). It matches the Rfam family "tRNA". From Rfam's summary of the family: Transfer RNA (tRNA) molecules are approximately 80 nucleotides in length. Their secondary structure includes four short double-helical elements and three loops (D, anti-codon, and T loops). The record is from Rfam by way of RNAcentral. RNAcentral also lists the same sequence under 1 other name. Lineage: Eukaryota; Metazoa; Chordata; Mammalia; Artiodactyla; Camelidae.
GAGGGUGUGGCUCAGUGGUAGAGCAUGUGCUUAGCACGCACGAGGUCCUGGGCUCAAGCCCCCGUACCUCCA